ACAAACCCUAGUAGCAGCCGUCACCCCCUUUACCUUUUCAUUCUCAAACAUUCACUCUCUCUCUCCCUCUCUCCCAUCCGCAGCUCUUCCUCUCUGCUUCCUCAUUCAAUCUUUCAUUCCUUCUUCUCUUCCUCACUUCAACUCUCCUUCCUCUCUUCCUCUCUUCCUCUCUUCCUCUCUCUCUGCUCCUCGUCUAAUAUUCCUUGCUUUCUCCAUAAACUUUCGAUCUCUUCUUUUCAAAUACAAGUCAAAUAGUUUUUUAAUCUGGGAUUCAUAUGGAGGUCGCACGGUCCAGACAUCCAUCUUUGUUCCUCCGGAUUUCUUUAACAGUGCUCGUGGCCGGAUGUUACAAUCGGCGAGGCGUCGGUUGGUUGGUGGCGAGGGUUUGUGGAUGCUUGGCGGCGGGUGAUGCAGUAGAACCCUAGGUUUUCUUUUGUUGUAUUUUAUGGCUUGGGCCUGUAUUGUUUGUUGGAUCUAUUGGGCAGUUUGGCAGGUGCUCUUUUGGGCUAGUUUACCAA
Molecule: non-coding RNA, 518 nt
Organism: Malus domestica (apple)
Lineage: Eukaryota; Viridiplantae; Streptophyta; Magnoliopsida; Rosales; Rosaceae
Source: RefSeq, a predicted model, not a curated record